CAGGUGUACGUGUAGAAAUACAUUCAGCUGAGCAGUACUAAUUACCCAACAGCUUGCACA
Molecule: ribosomal RNA, 60 nt
Filed under: Dyadobacter frigoris
Lineage: Bacteria; Pseudomonadati; Bacteroidota; Cytophagia; Cytophagales; Spirosomataceae
Description: Dyadobacter sp. AR-3-8 partial 23S ribosomal RNA
Source: RNAcentral